Long non-coding RNA from Hordeum vulgare subsp. vulgare (domesticated barley), 318 nucleotides. RefSeq lists it as uncharacterized. The transcript has 3 exons. NCBI's taxonomy places the organism in Eukaryota, Viridiplantae, Streptophyta, Magnoliopsida, Poales, Poaceae. The record is from RefSeq and is a predicted model, not a curated record.
AGUGUGAUACUAUCCUUGACAUGGAAAAAGAUGAGUUGGCUCCUGAGAUAGAAGAGGAAGAAGAAGGCGAGAUAGAGUAUGUUGAAGGUGAUGAUAUCGAGAUGGGUGACAUGGAUGAUAUGGAAGAUUUUGAAGGCUUUGGUGAUGAAGAUGGUGGAAGAAGACGAGGACAUGGGUAGCAGGCAAAGGACGCGAAUGUGAUUCUCCAGGCACGGCUUCAGUAACAUGCUUGGUGUCGAUGAUGUUGUAAUUUAGAUAAUUUUGCCUGUCUUUCUCGUGAUGACCGCAACUCUCUUCUAUGUGAUGGUAGUUUAGAUG